UGAUUAAUCUCCUCCAUUCUUAAAAAAAAAUAAAAUAAAAAAAUACAAGAAGAUUUUACUAAGAUAAAAGAAAUGCUAGUACAAGGAGGAGGACAGACAUUCUCUGUCGAGAAACAAGAACACACAACAACAAAACCUUAUCCUAUUAUAGUAUGCACUGUUAAACCACAAAUACAGUAUGCACUAUGCACCUUUAAAAAAACAGUAACAAAUCUAGUAUGCACUAUUAAAAAAACAUGAAAAAUUUGAGAAACUCACAAAGAAAUUAGGAGAAAUAAAAAUGACCUAUUAAAAUAUGGAAGCUAAAAAAGCUCGAAAACAAGAAGAUGACUUGGAUCAGAACCAAAAAGGGAGAAGGAGAAUGAAGGUAUCAGGGGAACCUAUGAGUGAAGGAAAGAAGGAAAAGUUCUGAGAGUUUGGUAUAGCAUUAAUGAAAGAUUUACGAAGUUGGAGUAAAAGAGAGUAAAAGAGAGAAAAAAAA
Molecule: non-coding RNA, 481 nt
Organism: Arachis ipaensis
Lineage: Eukaryota; Viridiplantae; Streptophyta; Magnoliopsida; Fabales; Fabaceae
Source: RefSeq, a predicted model, not a curated record